AACUUUACACUGCGGGAAGCCGCGAUAAGGGGACCCCGAGUGCCAGCACCUAGUGCUGGCUGUCCCGCUGUUCAAAAAACAGUGGUUAGCAAGGGCCGGGCAAGACCGGUGCCAGCCGCCGCGGUAACACCGGCGGCCCGAGUGGUAGCCGUUAUUAUCGGGUUUAAAGGGUCCGUAGCCGGCUUACUAAGUCUCUUGGGAAAUCUGGCGGCCUAAUCGUCAGGCGGCCAAGAGAUACUGGUAGGCUUGGGACCGGGAGAGGUGGGAGGUACUCCAGGGGUAGGGGUGAAAUCUCGUAAUCCUUGGGGGACCACCGAUGGCGAAGGCAUCCCACCAGAACGGGUCCGACGGUGAGGGACGAAAGCUGGGGGCACGAACCGGAUUAGAUACCCGGGUAGUCCCAGCUGUAAACGAUGCUCGCUAGGUGUCAGGUGCGGUGCGACCGCAUCUGGUGCCGCAGUGAAAACUUGAAGCGAGUCACCUGGGAAGUACGGUCGCAAGGCUGAAACUUAA
RNAcentral lists this ribosomal RNA (513 nucleotides) under uncultured archaeon. Its description in RNAcentral is "bacterial SSU rRNA". It matches the Rfam family "Archaeal small subunit ribosomal RNA", at positions 346 to 859 of the family's 1478-position model. The record is from RNAcentral.